CCUACGGGUGGCUGCAGUGGGGAAUAUUGGACAAUGGGGGGAACCCUGAUCCAGCCAUGCCGCGUGUGUGAAGAAGUCCCUCGGGUUGUAAAGCACUUUCAGUGAGGAAGAACGCCUGGUGGUUAAUACCCAUCAGGAAAGACAUCACUCACAGAAGAAGCACCGGCUAACUCCGUGCCAGCAGCCGCGGUAAUACGGAGGGUGCGAGCGUUAAUCGGAAUUACUGGGCGUAAAGCGCGCGUAGGUGGCUUGAUAAGCCGGUUGUGAAAGCCCCGGGCUCAACCUGGGAACGGCAUCCGGAACUGUCAAGCUAGAGUGCAGGAGAGGAAGGUAGAAUUCCCGGUGUAGCGGUGAAAUGCGUAGAGAUCGGGAGGAAUACCAGUGGCGAAGGCGGCCUUCUGGACUGACACUGACACUGAGGUGCGAAAGCGUGGGUAGCAAACAGGAUUAGAUACCCCAGUAGUC
This 465-nucleotide ribosomal RNA is filed under the name Vreelandella stevensii. Its description in RNAcentral is "partial 16S ribosomal RNA". It matches the Rfam family "Bacterial small subunit ribosomal RNA", at positions 338 to 795 of the family's 1533-position model. Lineage: Bacteria; Pseudomonadati; Pseudomonadota; Gammaproteobacteria; Oceanospirillales; Halomonadaceae. The record is from RNAcentral.